UACGUAGGGUGCAAGCGUUAAUCGGAAUUACUGGGCGUAAAGCGUGCGCAGGCGGUGAUGUAAGACAGAUGUGAAAUCCCCGGGCUCAACCUGGGAACUGCAUUUGUGACUGCAUCGCUGGAGUGCGGCAGAGGGGGAUGGAAUUCCGCGUGUAGCAGUGAAAUGCGUAGAGAUGCGGAGGAACACCGAUGGCGAAGGCAGCCCCCUGGGCUAGCACUGACGCUCAGGCACGAAAGCGUGGGGAGCAAACAGG
RNAcentral lists this ribosomal RNA (253 nucleotides) under uncultured bacterium. RNAcentral describes it as "partial 16S ribosomal RNA". It matches the Rfam family "Bacterial small subunit ribosomal RNA", at positions 524 to 776 of the family's 1533-position model. The record is from RNAcentral.